AGAGUGAACGCUGGCGGCAGGCCUAACACAUGCAAGUCGAGCGGCAGCGGGUCCUUCGGGAUGCCGGCGAGCGGCGGACGGGUGAGUAAGGCAUCGGAAUCUACCCUGAUGUGGGGGAUAACCUGGGGAAACUCAGGCUAAUACCGCAUACGACCUACGGGUGAAAGCGGGGGACCUUUCGGGGCCUCGCGCAGCAGGAUGAGCCGAUGUCCGAUUAGCUAGUUGGUGGGUAAAGCCCACCAAGGCGACGAUCGGUAGCCGUCUGAGAGGAUGAUCGGCCACACUGGGACUGAGACACGGCCCAGACUCCUACGGGAGGCAGCAGUGGGGAAUAUUGGACAAGUGGGGGACAACCCUGGAUCCCAGCCAUCGCCGCGUGGUGAAGAAGGCCUUGGGUAGUAAGCCGUUUGUAACGGAAGUAAAUCUACCGU
This 431-nucleotide ribosomal RNA is filed under the name uncultured soil bacterium. Its description in RNAcentral is "bacterial SSU rRNA". It matches the Rfam family "Bacterial small subunit ribosomal RNA", at positions 26 to 458 of the family's 1533-position model. The record is from RNAcentral.